AAGGCUGAGGUGUGAUGACGAGGCACUACGGUGCUGAAGUAACAAAUGCCCUGCUUCCAGGAAAAGCCUCUAAGCAUCAGGUAACAUCAAAUCGUACCCCAAACCGACACAGGUGGUCAGGUAGAGAAUACCAAGGCGCUUGAGAGAACUCGGGUGAAGGAACUAGGCAAAAUGGUGCCGUAACUUCGGGAGAAGGCACGCUGGUGUGUAGGUGAAGCCCCUGCGGGUGGAGCUGAGACCAGUCGAAGAUACCAGCUGGCUGCAACUGUUUAUUAAAAACACAGCACUGUGCAAACACGAAAGUGGACGUAUACGGUGUGACGCCUGCCCGGUGCCGGAAGGUUAAUUGAUGGGGUUAUCCGUAAGGAGAAGCUCUUGAUCGAAGCCCCGGUAAACGGCGGCCGUAACUAUAACGGUCCUAAGGUAGCGAAAUUCCUUGUCGGGUAAGUUCCGACCUGCACGAAUGGCGUAAUGAUGGCCAGGCUGUCUCCACCCGAGACUCAGUGAAAUUGAACUCGCUGUGAAGAUGCAGUGUACCCGCGGCAAGACGGAAAGACCCCGUGAACCUUUACUAUAGCUUGACACUGAACAUUGAGCCUUGAUGUGUAGGAUAGGUGGGAGGCUUUGAAGCGUGGACGCCAGUCUGCGUGGAGCCAACCUUGAAAUACCACCCUUUAAUGUUUGAUGUUCUAACGUUGGCCCCUUACCGGGGUUGCGGACAGUGUCUGGUGGGUAGUUUGACUGGGGCGGUCUCCUCCCAAAGCGUAACGGAGGAGCACGAAGGUUAGCUAAUCCUGGUCGGACAUCAGGAGGUUAGUGCAAUGGCAUAAGCUAGCUUGACUGCGAGCGUGACGGCGCGAGCAGGUGCGAAAGCAGGUCAUAGUGAUCCGGUGGUUCUGAAUGGAAGGGCCAUCGCUCAACGGAUAAAAGGUACUCCGGGGAUAACAGGCUGAUACCGCCCAAGAGUUCAUAUCGACGGCGGUGUUUGGCACCUCGAUGUCGGCUCAUCACAUCCUGGGGCUGAAGUAGGUCCCAAGGGUAUGGCUGUUCGCCAUUUAAAGUGGUACGCGAGCUGGGUUUAGAACGUCGUGAGACAGUUCGGUCCCUAUCUGCCGUGGGCGCUGGAGAAUUGAGGGGGGCUGCUCCUAGUACGAGAGGACCGGAGUGGACGCAUCACUGGUGUUCGGGUUGUCAUGCCAAUGGCACUGCCCGGUAGCUAAAUGCGGAAGAGAUAAGUGCUGAAAGCAUCUAAGCACGAAACUUGCCCCGAGAUGAGUUCUCCCUGAGACUUUAAGUCUCCUGAAGGAACGUUGAAGACGACGACGUUGAUAGGCCGGGUGUGUAAGCGCAGCGAUGCGUUGAGCUAACCGGUACUAAUGAACCGUGAGGCUUAACCUU
This 1398-nucleotide ribosomal RNA is filed under the name Klebsiella pneumoniae. RNAcentral describes it as "bacterial LSU rRNA". It matches the Rfam family "Bacterial large subunit ribosomal RNA", at positions 1552 to 2925 of the family's 2925-position model. Lineage: Bacteria; Pseudomonadati; Pseudomonadota; Gammaproteobacteria; Enterobacterales; Enterobacteriaceae. The record is from RNAcentral.